This is a long non-coding RNA of Schistocerca nitens (vagrant locust), 1182 nucleotides long. RefSeq lists it as uncharacterized. The transcript has 3 exons. Lineage: Eukaryota; Metazoa; Arthropoda; Insecta; Orthoptera; Acrididae. The record is from RefSeq and is a predicted model, not a curated record.
GUAAGGAAGUGUUUUGUUGUGUUCUGGUACUGUUUGUUGUUUUGUGGUUUCAGCUUUGGUUUAAUAUGGAAUCAUGAGGUGUCCUGGAGGUGAAGUAUUUACACAAGUUUAGCUUGCUGUGCGAGCUCCAGAUUAGAAGGGCAUCCGAGGAGGGCAUGACUGUGGAAUUGUGCCAAUGGCUGCAGGGGUAUUGGAGAAGCCUGUACACAUCACCUUGCAGAUUGUUGGGGAGGUAUAUUCUACUUGGUGUACGAGGUGUGGCUAGAAAAAAACCGGACUAGUACUGGUGAAACAAUAAAACGAAUGCAAUAAGGCUGAAAGUCACAUGACUCUCGCUCCGCCUACUGCUCGAGUUUCAUCUGCCUCCUGCACUCAGUCUGCCCGUGGCGUCUGUUUUAAGUAGUUGACAUUUUGUCUGUGCGUCGGAAAAUGUUGAGUGUACAGAAAGAACAGCGUGUUAACAUCAAAUUUUGUUUCAAACUAGGAAAAUCUGCAAGUGAAACGUUUGUAAUGUUACAACAAGUGUACGGCGAUGAUUGUUUAUCGCGAACACAAGUGUUUGAGUGGUUAAAUGAUUUAAAGAUGGCCGUGAAGACACCAGUGAUGACACUCGCACUGCAGACCAUUGUCAGCAAAAACUGAUGCAAACAUUGAAAAAAUCGGUAAACUUGUUCGACACAUUCCUUGUCAACUCCUGUUAACUCAGACACUGCUCUGAUUGUUUUAACUAGGCUGGUGGCGUGAUUACGUGCAGUGAAGGCUGAGGAGAGAAUGGUGGUGUAUUGCUGUAAAGAGCCUGCAACUGAACAAAUACAUUUGCCUCGGAUGCCAAGGCAAAUACGUUUGCCUCGGAUGCCAAGGCUGUAUGGGAGGGAAUGUUUUACAUGGAAAGGAUGGUAAUUGUCAAAAUAAUUAUUCCAAGGAAAAUGGGAUUUGGAAACAGGUAAACAUAUGACUAUAGCUUUUGCAAGUAUGAGCCUUAACAAACAUAAAUUACACUGUGACAGAGAAGGAGUCACUAGUUAUCACUUGGUGUACACAAAAAUUCCAGACAUUAAUUUAGGGAUCAAAGAUAAUUAUCGAUACUGAUCAUCAGGCAUUAGCCUUCCUGUUGGGAAGUAAACUAUUGCAUAAACAUCUAAUGAGUUAGGCAUUGUCUUUACAAAUAUCCCAAGCAGAAAU